RNAcentral lists this transfer RNA (71 nucleotides) under Camelus bactrianus (Bactrian camel). It matches the Rfam family "tRNA". Rfam says of the family: Transfer RNA (tRNA) molecules are approximately 80 nucleotides in length. Their secondary structure includes four short double-helical elements and three loops (D, anti-codon, and T loops). The record is from Rfam by way of RNAcentral. Lineage: Eukaryota; Metazoa; Chordata; Mammalia; Artiodactyla; Camelidae. RNAcentral also lists the same sequence under 1 other name.
GAGGGUACAUCUCAGUGAUGGAGCGUGUGCUUACUAUGCACAACGUCCGGGUUCAAUCCCCAGUACCUCCA